GACGAACGCUGGCGGCGUGCUUAACACAUGCAAGUCGAGCGGGAUCCAACCGGUGGCAACACCGGGGAAGAUCUAGCGGCGAACGGGUGAGUAACACGUGAGCAACCUGCCCCGAAGACUGGGAUAACACCGGGAAACCGGUGCUAAUACCGGAUGUCGUCAUUAGGCCGCAUGACCUGAUGAUGAAAGGAUUCAUCGCUUCGGGAGGGGCUCGCGGGCUAUCAGCNGUUGGUGGGGUAACGGCCUACCAAGGCGACGACGGCUAGCUGGUCUGAGAGGACGGACCAGCCACACUGGGACUGAGACACGGCCCAGACUCCUACGGGAGGCAGCAGUGGGGAAUCUUGCGCAAUGGGCGAAAGCCUGACGCAGCAACGCCGCGUGGGGGAUGAAUGCCUUCGGGUUCG
RNAcentral lists this ribosomal RNA (407 nucleotides) under uncultured bacterium. RNAcentral describes it as "bacterial SSU rRNA". It matches the Rfam family "Bacterial small subunit ribosomal RNA", at positions 28 to 426 of the family's 1533-position model. The record is from RNAcentral.